GCCUGGCUGGCUCAGUUGAUAGAGCAUGUGACUCUUGAUCUUGGGGUUGUGAGUUCAAGCCCACGUUGGGUG
This 72-nucleotide transfer RNA is filed under the name Canis lupus familiaris (dog). It matches the Rfam family "tRNA". Rfam says of the family: Transfer RNA (tRNA) molecules are approximately 80 nucleotides in length. Their secondary structure includes four short double-helical elements and three loops (D, anti-codon, and T loops). RNAcentral also lists the same sequence under 2 other names. Lineage: Eukaryota; Metazoa; Chordata; Mammalia; Carnivora; Canidae. The record is from Rfam by way of RNAcentral.